CCACAGGUAGGUUAGAACAGGUAACCUACUGAUGAAAAGUGGUGGAAAUGCGGUGACUAUGCCUCGUCUCCUACUAGGUCCGACCCGAACUCUGCAGACUGGACAUUUUAAAACGAAUGGCCCAGGGGAAACAUUUAACAACGUUAGAGUGAGUGGACCAAAAAUAAAAUAAAGGAAAUAAUGCUUUAUGCUUUCCCAAUUUUACUUUUCCAUAAAAAAAAAAAAUAUGCUGCAUGCGACAGCUCAAAAUGCUCAACACGAAAACUAGAAUUUCAUGACUGGCUCCGGCCAGUCUCCAACGCUCAAUAAAAUACAGCCUCUCAGACUAAAAUAAAAUAUGUAUGUAUUAUAUUCGUCAUAUCCCUUGUAUGAAUUUUCUUGAAACAACAAAAACAAAUAGAAAAUUCACACAAGGCUACAACGCUUACAUCUAACGCUCACGUUGCACCAUAAUGGCAUUUUACCUUAUUAUGGUGGAAAAGACGGUGUAUAAAUAUACGCGCAUAUCCCCUAUAUAAAUUAUUCUUUUUAUAUAGGGCUACAACGAUCGCGUCUAACGCUCACGUUGCACCAUAAUGGAAUUUUACCUCAGUAUGGUGGAAAAACACGUAUAGCUAGCUAGCAUUCUCUCAUAUACAUAUUAUUCUCAUAAUCAUCCACAUAUGGAUAUAUAUAUAUAUAUACUCACCGAAAUUCUCAAUUUCGGUUAUUCUCCAACAUCAUAAAUUAUUUCGCAUGCACAUUAUUUAAAACAAAAGUCCACUCACUAAUUAGGCCUAAGCCUGAUGUCGAUCUGGGGCCUCGUCAGCUCGAGCCUCCUCGCGUCCUGUUCCAAAACAUAAAUAAUUCCUUAAAUAAAAUCCCAACGUUUAAAGAAAAUAGGCAUAAUUAAAUAUGAGCUUCUCGCGCUCAACCAUGCUUAUCGUCCUAAAUCUUAACUUCACUGCCAACCAAAAAUCUCCAUAAAUACCGACAUCCUCAAAAAAUCACCUUCCAACGUCCUAAUCAUAAAAAUAAUCCAAUGGCCGGAUUUUAACUUAUUAAUCCGCAAAAAAUACCAAACUUUACAAAUUCCAAAACCUAACCAAAAAUCCUCCAAAAACUCCUAAAUUCACCUCAAUAAUAUCCCCUUAAUAUUCUACAUCAAAAACCACAAAAUUUCCCAAAACAGCGGCGGCUCCGCCGGCAGCGGCGGCCGGAGGCCAAUUUCCGACGACCUACAAUUCCUAUGAAAUUUUAACAGCAUCUUCCUCUCAUCAUGCUCUACAACUUUCCUAACUAGCACAAACCCAAAAUCCAAGCCUAGCUAUGCCAAUCGAAUCAAAACAUCCAUAAAUCCCUAAAACUUUCAACUAAACAAACCACCCUAACGAAAACGAAUUUAGCCUAAUCCUUUUGAGGGAUUACUCACCUAGAUGAGGGCUACAAGUUGAGCCAAAAAUCACGACCUAUGGUGGCCGGAAGACGGAGCUCCGGCAAAAAACCCUUUCCGGCAGUCGAACCUUUCGGGGUUGACCGCUCCUUCACAGCAGCGUUCCGCGCGCGUGCACCGGUCCAGGAUGAGAGAGGAAGAGGCAAGGGUCCGAACGGGACCAGUCUGUCGGUCGGUGGUGGCCGGACGGCGGCGGACGGCGGUGGUGAAGUUUCCGGGCGGAGGGAGGAGAAAAUCGGGUG
This 1674-nucleotide long non-coding RNA is filed under the name Fragaria vesca (wild strawberry). RNAcentral's name for it is "long non-coding RNA (FVES_LNC004525)". Lineage: Eukaryota; Viridiplantae; Streptophyta; Magnoliopsida; Rosales; Rosaceae. The record is from RNAcentral.